AACGAACGCUGGCGGCAGGCCUAACACAUGCAAGUCGAGCGAGCAUUUCGGUGCUAGCGGCGGACGGGUGAGUAACGCGUGGGAACGUGCCCUUUUCUUCGGAAUAGUCCUGGGAAACUGGGGGUAAUACCGCAUACGCCCUUUUGGGGAAAGAUUUAUCGGAGAAGGAUCGGCCCGCGUUGGAUUAGGUAGUUGGUGGGGUAAUGGCCCACCAAGCCGACGAUCCAUAGCUGGUUUGAGAGGAUGAUCAGCCACACUGGGACUGAGACACGGCCCAGACUCCUACGGGAGGCAGCAGUGGGGAAUCUUAGACGAUGGGGGCAACCCUGAUCUAGCCAUGCCGCGUGAGUGAUGAAGGCCUUAGGGUUGUAAAGCUCUUUCAGCUGGGAAGAUAAUGACGGUACCAGCAGAAGAAGCCCCGGCUAACUCCGUG
RNAcentral lists this ribosomal RNA (433 nucleotides) under uncultured bacterium. RNAcentral describes it as "partial 16S ribosomal RNA". It matches the Rfam family "Bacterial small subunit ribosomal RNA", at positions 29 to 507 of the family's 1533-position model. The record is from RNAcentral.